This is a long non-coding RNA of Dicentrarchus labrax (European seabass), 3845 nucleotides long. RefSeq lists it as uncharacterized. The transcript is spliced from 2 exons. The record is from RefSeq and is a predicted model, not a curated record. NCBI's taxonomy places the organism in Eukaryota, Metazoa, Chordata, Actinopteri, Moronidae.
ACGGCGGUCUACUCAACGGCGUUUACUUUUCGAGCAUCCAUCAUCGGAGUUGGGGGGAGAGAGAGACUCUGUUGUUUCUCCCUGCAGUAGUUUUAUAUUUACAUUUGAGUGCAGAGCCUUAUAGGUGGAGGUAGGUGUCUUGCUCAAGGGCACAUUGACAGUCCUCUCUGUAGAGGAAGGAAAACAAUUGCAAUUUGUUCCAGUUUAUCCUUUUAAUCUAAUAGAGUGCCAUCAGUUUAUUAUUGUAACAUCCAAAUACCCAAUAACACACAGCAUAUUUUGUAAAGAUAAAUGAUUUUGGACUGUUUUUUUUAUAUAUUAUUAUAUCUUAUAACAGAAUGUAGCCUUGUUCUUACUAAACAAUGGAUGUUAAACUUUUCCUGGAACCUUAAUUUCAUAAUUUGUGUCUCAUAAUCUGCUAAACAAAUAAAUUGUGAUUAGGGAUUGACCUGUGGUUAGAAAAGCUGUUUUGGGCAGUAAGUAGGAAACUAUACUAGCCUGCUGAAAAUAGCUCGAACUCUGAGAAGAGGCAAGUAAGAAGAUAAUUCCUCCACAGGGAUCAAUGAAGCAUCUCAUGAUUAUUACUGUGCAGACUUUGUGUGAGGAGUUUAAGAGAGAGCUUAGUUACAAAGCAAAGCUCUCACUCACAUUCUUUAACAAGAGCCUGACCUGGACCAUGGGCAGAACAUCAAGUGUCACUCUUCAUUUUACACACACUCAUAAUGUUGUCCAUAUUAUGACAGGGUAGAAUCCAUUAAUACACCUGGACUGACUAAUCACCAGCUUAGAUAACCACACUUACCAUGUCCUUCAUAAGCUCCAGCUUGGGGGACAUUUUGAAGGCAUUUCAUUGAAAAUAAUUAAAGUUAACCGUGUGAAACAGCACAAUGUAACAAUAAUGUACAUUCUGCAGAGUGUGUUGCUCGCUAAAUGAAGUAGAAGACUUGAUCAACACUCACUUUUCAGUGGAUUUAACUGCUGGAUGCUUAAAAAAUGUGUCUCGUGAGGACUGAGUACUCAAAAUUAUUGUCACUUUCUCUACUAUUAAAAUAGUAUCAAGUACAACAGGAGAAACCUCACUAGUCUCAAAAGUCAGCGAUCCACAAAAUCCCAUACACCUGUUUUUACUGUUUUUUAAAUGAAUCUGACUCAAAUGGAUUGUAAAGACUGUAAAUAAGAUAUAAGAAAUAGUAAUACAGCCACAAGAACCAAACCUUUGCAGCUCAUUAUUUUAGAACUUUUUAAAUGCUUCUAAGUGUUCAAAUUUGCAGGUGAAAUGGAGCUUGACAUAUUGUGAUUAGAAAAUCUGGUAUUUUGUCUGAUGGUGGUGCUAUUUAGCAUGAUCCAAUGAGCUCAGUGAAAGGUUUGCCAUGUAUCUGAGUCCGGUCCAAACACCACACACAGUGUAUGAGAAAAUCCUUAUUUUAUUUAAACCUGUGCUUUUCCUAGUGUGACAUGUCAAAAUUCCCUUCUGAGAUAAAAGUAUUUUAGGUUGACAAGGAAAUAAGAAGGGAUGGAAAAUACUAAUUAUAUAUCAUAUUCCAGAAUAUGGAGUUUCAUUUUUAAUUAAUUAAUUAAUUUUGCUCAUAAGUUUGGGUAUAUUGUUAAUUUCCUCAGUUUAAUAAAUAAACACUUACUUAUUUUGUCACUUACUUUCUUGCACACUAGCCUGGUUGUCCACUAGAUGUCUCCUAAUCUCUUCCUCUGAGUAUUCAUUGCACGCUGUGUGUAAGAUGAGCAUCACAUGAUACUUUACCUCUGUGGUCUGUCUCUUUUUGUCUCUAUUGUCUAAAUGAUGCUUCACCUUGUUUUGUUCCCCCCAUACAUCCUGAGCAGUCCCUCCCGGUAGUCACUGUAAAACUAUAUUUUCUCUCCAGACCCCUUGUCCCCAGGAUGCUUCCAUGACAACCGUGUUGUUUGUCAUACUAAUUGUGUCAAAUUGUCAAAUGCACUGAAGAAUGACUUCCUCUCUGAUAGACUGAAAUCUCAUUGUUUUUAGACUGCUUAACAUUAUGAUUAUGUAAAUAUUUGCUUGUGGGAUAUCAAUGUGUCUGUGGUGACAACAUGGUAAUUAAUUAGCAUAUUUUUUGGCUGGUCUAAAUGAACACUGCUCCAAUGACUAAUUAACUACCUACAGCAAAUGAGUCACACCUAGCUGCAAAACUACCCUGCAACUGCCUAUAGGUGGCAGCGUCCUCAUAACUGAUGCACAGUUCUGAGUUUUCAGGUUUUGUAGUGUUUAUAUUUUCUGAUUAUGGAUCAGUUUGCUUUCAUAAUGUUUUGUUCUGUGCCUGCAAUCAACCCCACGCUUAUCAGCAGGACCAUCUGUGAUUUGUUGCUCCGUGGUCAUUUACCCAUCUGUGAGCUGAUCUGUCUGUCUGAUGGGGUUAAUGGUGAUUGACCUCAUGAAAGGAGUCAACUGAGAGUCUUGUGUCGGACAUUGUAUUGUACAAAACACUUUGCCAACAUCAGUGGCUGUUAUUCCAUGAGAUGAAAGAGUACUUAUAGUUUUCGUCUGCUGUCUUUUGUUGUUAAAUCUGCAGUUCUGCGGUUAGUUAUCAAUGAUUUAAUAAAGUUGAUCCACUUUUUUCUGAAUGGACUUCAGUCAGCAGGUUUGUAAAUUGCCCUUGUGUUCAUGAUGCACUAGCUAUUUGUCCACUGAUGAUGAAAUGGUUGGAACAAACAUUUUUCUUACAAAAUCUCCAUUCAGGCAUCCACUGGAGCAGAGGCAGACACAACAGGAUAAGCGUCUUUGUCUCAGACUCCUGUCUGUCAGAGACACCCCCCUCCCAGCCUUUCCUCUAUUUGGGCGGCUGUUACAGAGAGGGCAGAUGGCUCAUUACCAUAAAUAGGACAGAGAGAGAGUGAGUGAGGGGGCCGUGCACACCGACCAACAGGACCAUGCCGCCCAAAACCAAGGAAAUGGGAGGCCGUUGCUAGGAGAGAGGAAAGACAGCUUUAUGGCAACACAAAGCUGAUUCCCCCAUCCGACCUCAUCUCGCUCCCGCCCCCUCGUUCCCUGCUCUGGGGACCGAGCCUUGAAUCUGCUGGUCGGGGACAGAUGGUCGAUGGGCCCCACCGUCUCUACAGCUGGACACAGGCUACGCUGACACAGUCAGACCUGGCAGGACUGAAUCACACCUUAUCCUGUCCAACCUAUGAGGAACAAGAGCAGAAAGUACUGAAGCCCAGGCCACCAGCUAAGAAUAGAUCCACACUUGUUGCCCACAGGAAAUGUGUGGCUGCUCAGUAGAUGAUAAAAUGUUAAGAGUUUGUCUUUGUAGUACUGUAAUGCUCUCUCUAGGAUGAAAAUCAUUCACCAGGAAUAAUCACAGGUUGUUACUUGCUUCUGUAUUGCUGUUAUUUAGUUUCUAAACAAUUAAUGGCAAAUGUUUGGUCACUGCUUGUAUUGGGAAGUUCUAACCUGAUACACCUACCCACACACACACAAUCUGACAACAUGACUCUGACGUAAAUAGAGUGGGGUUUUUUUCAGCCACACCUCUGUUAUUUUUAAUCUCUCUCUAUUUUCCUAAUCUCAGCAUCCCCAUUUGAGUCAUUGCCCUUGUUUUUAAUGACUGCCAUGUUUGUUAAAUGUAUCUGUCCACAUGCAAAUAUAACAAGUGCACCAAAAUAGGGGAGCGUGGGGUGAGGUGAGGCACUUGGAAAGUACAUCAGUCAAGACACCACCACUGAAACAAUAGCACAUCUGCUCUCACUAGACCUCUGGCUGAAAGGGCAAGAGCAGCCAACUGUCUCACAGACAGGAAGGAGAGGAAAUCAAUUGAGAAAUGAAAGAGUUUAAUUUAAAUCAAUAAAAAAGUUAAAUAAAUCAUAUAAAUGCA